Helianthus annuus (common sunflower) is the source of this 154-nucleotide long non-coding RNA. RefSeq lists it as uncharacterized. Lineage: Eukaryota; Viridiplantae; Streptophyta; Magnoliopsida; Asterales; Asteraceae. The transcript has 3 exons. The record is from RefSeq and is a predicted model, not a curated record.
UUCACUGAUAUGGAAUCAGAAGAUACUGUUAACCUGAAUGAUGAUAACUGCACUGAUGUUAUUAUGGGAGUCACUGUUGGUACCAAAUCAAAUGAAGACUUCAAAUCGAAGGUUCCUUCUGAGUCCAUGGAUGAUAAUGUCAUCAACCCCUUUG